This is a long non-coding RNA of Homo sapiens (human), 2232 nucleotides long. The record is from Ensembl. NCBI's taxonomy places the organism in Eukaryota, Metazoa, Chordata, Mammalia, Primates, Hominidae.
GUGGACUUUGGCCUCUGCCCUCCUUUGGCAGUUUUACAGGCUGCGUCGCGGAGGACAAUGAAAGAGGCUUUAAGGGAACUGGACAGGAAGGAUUUUGCGCAGGGUGUGCUCCUUAUCUUUAUGGUAAUCUGAUAUUGAAAAGAGUGUCCGCAUGUUUGCGGUGGAUUGAGUGUUCACCUGGCUGCGCUGCCCACCUGAAAUGCAGCCUGUGGAGUGAAGAGUCGGCAAUUUGGAAGCCCACCUUUCCUCCUUUCUGGUGGGCAUUUUUUUAGAUGCCAGGGGGAGAGCUUUCCCGCCUGACUCCCCGAGCCUAGGGGCUUUCCCAUGUCUUAACCCCACAUCACAAAAUUAAAUUUGGGCCAGGUGCGCGGUGGCUCACGCCGGUAAUCCCAGCGCUUUGGGAGGCCGAGGCUGGCGGAUCGCUUGAGCUCAGCAGUUCGAGACCAGCUUGAGCGACGUAUUAAGAUCUCGUUUCUACAAAAAAUAAAAUUAACCGGCCGUGGUGGCGCGCACCUGCGGUCCCAGCUCCUCGGGAAGAUGAGGUGGGAGAAUCGCUUGAACCCGGGAGGCGGAGGUUGCAGUGAGCCGAGAUCGUUCCACUGCACUCCAGCCUGGGCGACAGAGCGAGACCCUGUCUCAAACAACAACAAAAACUUUAUCAUUAUUUACUUAAAAGGCCUCCGCGUUGUGGUUAGAUAGUGACGUGUGUGCCAUCCUCCACUUUUUCCCCCGGCGGGUUGUUAAAUGUUUUGUUUUACCUCGGAGGUAUUUUGACUUUUUCAAAGUCACUGAUUAUUUAACCUCCUAGUUUCUCUUCUCGUCGACUGCAGCAAGCUUCCGGUUGCUCUGCCUGCCCUCAGUGUCCCCCAUCUACCAGCUGACCUUCCAGUCCUCCCACCCACGCCCUUGUCCUGCUUGCGGCUCCCGCAGGACUAAGCUCUGCUCCCCGCGCGCGGCUCACCCAGGUCCCAGUCGCUUUCAGCCGCGCGCUCACACGUUUUCCUGUCGCCUGCCCCCGUUCUGUUCGCGCGUGCUGCGCUCUCCAGCCACCCUGACGCCUGCCCGGGAUGAGUUUCCUCCCCACUUUGCCGCGGCCCCGCCGACCGACCGCUUCACUGCCGCCUUCCUGCAUUCUCGCAGACUACGUUGCGGCGUCCCCUGCUCCCGCCCUGAGGACGUCGCUUUUCUGGCACUUUCAUCCUAUGCAUUCUGUUGAGUCUGCUCACUGUCUCACACUGUGAGGAUUGGGACAGUGUCUUAUCACUUUCAUAACAGCGUCUGGCACUUGCUGAAGGAACACAUGAAUGGCGGUCUUGUCGCUGUCAAAGUCUUUGGAGUUUUUCAGUGUACUGUUUUUGAUAUGGGGUUUGGGAAUUUAGGUGGCUUUACUGUAUUUGGGAUAUUUGAGGGGAAAAUGAGCUAGAGGCGUUAAAAUGCUUUCUUCUGAUGGAACAACAAAAUUCUUAUGAAGGACCUUUCCCUGUCAAAAUCAGAGCAAAUAGUAAAGGAUAUAUACUAUUUGGAUAUAAAGAAUGAUUAUAAAGGAUGAUUGUUAAGAGAAAUAGUGAAAAUUAGUGUGGAAAGCUAUAACCAGAUCAACAUUUAUGAGCCAUCCAACAGAAUAAGGGUGUAGCUUUUUUAUGUAUACAAUCUCUAGGAUUCACUCUAGAGAGUGUAACUCCUGAUAUGGACUCCUGGUGCAACAUGCUUCUGUGUAUGUUUUAUAUUUUAAAAAAUCUAUAUAUAUUUAAAAUCUAAAUAUAUUUUUAAAAAUCUCAGUUUUGUUUUAGGAAAGUGUUUUUUCUCAAAAUUUAAGCCCAAAUGAUAAAAUCUGCCAAAUAGAAAACUAUUUUAAAUUGAUAAUAACAGUAUAGUUUCAUCAAAACUAAAAAUACCAGAUCUUUUGAUGUAUUUGUUUCCUAGCAGAGAAUUAAGUUUUCACGUUCUUACUGUUGGCCUCCUAGAUAUCAUGUGAGCAUGUCUUAAGGAAAAAUGCUCUUAAUGCCACUGUGGUUUCUACCUUCAUGUGCAAAUAGAAGAGAGUGGUGGUUUGUAAUAGGCCAUUCUUUCCAGAGAAAAGUUCAUGUGUAUUUCUGUAUAUGCAGCAUCCUCCUUAUUAUGUUUGGAUGUAAAGAUUUAUUAUUCUCUCUGAUGUUUUCAUAUUUUUUAAAUUUACAAUAUAAUAAAGAGGUACAGAGUUCUAAAUCAAUAAAAGAUGGGCUAUAAAAUGGA